UACGGGGGGGGCAAGCGUUGUUCGGAAUUACUGGGCGUAAAGGGUGCGCAGGCGGUUGGGUGUGUCAGAUGUGAAAUCCCGAGGCUCAACCUCGGAACUGCGUCUGAAACUACUCGACUAGAGUACUGGAGAGGGUAACGGAAUUCACGGUGUAGCAGUGAAAUGCGUAGAUAUCGUGAGGAACACCAGAGGCGAAGGCGGUUACCUGGACAGUUACUGACGCUCAGGCACGAAAGCAUGGGGAGCAAAAGGG
Molecule: ribosomal RNA, 253 nt
Filed under: uncultured bacterium
Lineage: Bacteria
Description: partial 16S ribosomal RNA
Rfam family: Bacterial small subunit ribosomal RNA
Source: RNAcentral